GGAAAAUCGAGUUCCCACACCCGCUCGCCAAAGCAACGUCCGUCAGCGGCACAGCGGGAGAUCGGCCUCUUCCUCGCUCAUUAGGACACCGGAGGGAAGCAGAGCAUCCGCCGCGAUCUCUCAGUGGACGAGGCCCGCCGGCGUGCCAUCCUCGCCGCAUUUCCAGCCGAGGGAGCAGACGUCCGCGUCCUCGCCUCGUCUUGGGUGUAGUCGAGGGUCUCUGCAAAAUCCAGUAAGCGGGCGACGAGCUGCAACGUGCGAGCGGGGGCGAGCCGUUGUGGGAGCUCCCCUACAGAGAAGAUGUACAGAAGAAGCCAAGUUGCUCUUGGGCGCGGUCGAGGAGCACCACCUCCUCCAGUGCACAGUCGACGAGCUGCUGCGGGAGAGCCAGGCGAGCGGUCAUGGGAGCUCCUCUGGAGAAGAUGAACAGGAGAUCCGCCUCCUCAUGCGCAUGAUGAGCUGG
This 463-nucleotide unclassified non-coding RNA is filed under the name Zea mays. RNAcentral's name for it is "misc RNA Zm00001eb078610". The record is from RNAcentral. Lineage: Eukaryota; Viridiplantae; Streptophyta; Magnoliopsida; Poales; Poaceae.